GAUGAACGCUGGCGGCGUGCCUAAUACAUGCAAGUCGAGCGAACAGAUGAGGAGCUUGCUCCUCUGACGUUAGCGGCGGACGGGUGAGUAACACGUGGAUAACCUACCUAUAAGACUGGGAUAACUUCGGGAAACCGGAGCUAAUACCGGAUAAUAUAUUGAACCGCAUGGUUCAAUAGUGAAAGACGGUUUUGCUGUCACUUAUAGAUGGAUCCGCGCCGCAUUAGCUAGUUGGUAAGGUAACGGCUUACCAAGGCAACGAUGCGUAGCCGACCUGAGAGGGUGAUCGGCCACACUGGAACUGAGACACGGUCCAGACUCCUACGGGAGGCAGCAGUAGGGAAUCCUCCGCAAAGGGCGAAAGCCUGACGGAGCAACGCCGCGUGAGUGAUGAAGGUCUUCGGAUCGUAAAACUCUGUUAUUAGGGAAGAACAAAUGUGUAAGUAACUAUGCACGUCUUGACGGUACCUAAUCAGAAAGCCACGGCUAACUACGUG
RNAcentral lists this ribosomal RNA (497 nucleotides) under uncultured bacterium. Its description in RNAcentral is "partial 16S ribosomal RNA". It matches the Rfam family "Bacterial small subunit ribosomal RNA", at positions 28 to 507 of the family's 1533-position model. The record is from RNAcentral.